CGGAUCGGAGUCUGCAACCCGACUCCGUGAAGCUGGAUUCGCUGUAAUCGCGCAUCAGCCAUGGCGCGGUGAAUACGUUCCCGGGCCUUGUACACACCGCCCGUCAAGCCAUGGAAGCCGGGGGCGCUUGAAGUGCGUUGCCGCAAGGCGCGCCCUAGAGCGAAACCGGUGACUGGGGCUAAGUCGUAACAAGGUACC
RNAcentral lists this ribosomal RNA (198 nucleotides) under uncultured bacterium. Its description in RNAcentral is "partial 16S ribosomal RNA". It matches the Rfam family "Bacterial small subunit ribosomal RNA", at positions 1294 to 1500 of the family's 1533-position model. The record is from RNAcentral.